Molecule: ribosomal RNA, 451 nt
Filed under: uncultured bacterium
Lineage: Bacteria
Description: partial 16S ribosomal RNA
Rfam family: Bacterial small subunit ribosomal RNA
Source: RNAcentral
GUGGGGAAUAUUGGACAAUGGGGGGAACCCUGAUCCAGCCAUGCCGCGUGUGUGAAGAAGGCCUUUUGGUUGUAAAGCACUUUAAGCGAGGAGGCGGCUACCGAGAUUAAUACUCUUGGAUAGUGGACGUUACUCGCAGAAUAAGCACCGGCUAACUCUGUGCCAGCAGCCGCGGUAAUACAGAGGGUGCAAGCGUUAAUCGGAUUUACUGGGCGUAAAGCGCGCGUAGGUGGCCAAUUAAGUCAAAUGUGAAAUCCCCGAGCUUAACUUGGGAAUUGCAGUCGAUACUGGUUGGCUAGAGUAUGGGAGAGGAUGGUAGAAUUCCAGGUGUAGCGGUGAAAUGCGUAGAGAUCUGGAGGAAUACCGAUGGCGAAGGCAGCCAUCUGGCCUAAUACUGACACUGAGGUGCGAAAGCAUGGGGAGCAAACAGGAUUAGAUACCCCGGUAGUCC